AACCUACGGGAGGCAGCAGUAGGGAAUCUUCCACAAUGGACGAAAGUCUGAUGGAGCAACGCCGCGUGAGUGAAGAAGGGUUUCGGCUCGUAAAGCUCUGUUGGUAGUGGAGAAAGAUAGAGGUAGUAACUGGCCUUUAUUUGACGGUAAUUACUUAGAAAGUCACGGCUAACUACGUGCCAGCAGCCGCGGUAAUACGUAGGGGGCAAGCGUUGUACGGAUUUAUUGGGCGUAAAGCGAGUGCAGGCGGUGCAAUAAGGUUGA
Molecule: ribosomal RNA, 264 nt
Filed under: uncultured bacterium
Lineage: Bacteria
Description: partial 16S ribosomal RNA
Rfam family: Bacterial small subunit ribosomal RNA
Source: RNAcentral